AGUGAACGCUGGCGGUAGGCCUAACACAUGCAAGUCGAACGGCAGCACAGAGGAGCUUGCUCCUUGGGUGGCGAGUGGCGGACGGGUGAGGAAUACAUCGGAAUCUACUCUGUCGUGGGGGAUAACGUAGGGAAGCUUACGCUAAUACCGCAUACGACCUACGGGUGAAAGCAGGGGAUCUUCGGACCUUGCGCGAUUGAAUGAGCCGAUGUCGGAUUAGCUAGUUGGCGGGGUAAAGGCCCACCAAGGCGACGAUCCGUAGCUGGUCUGAGAGGAUGAUCAGCCACACUGGAACUGAGACACGGUCCAGAAUCCUACGGGAGGCAGCAGUGGGGAAUAUUGGACAAUGGGCGCAAGCCUGAUCCAGCCAUACCGCGUGGGUGAAGAAGGCCUUCGGGUUGUAAAGCCCUUUUGUUGGGAAAGAAAUCCAUCUGGUUAAUACCCGGGUGGGAUGACGGUACCCAAAGAAUAAGCACCGGCUAACUUCGUGCCAGCCGCCGCAGUAA
RNAcentral lists this ribosomal RNA (506 nucleotides) under uncultured bacterium. RNAcentral's name for it is "partial 16S ribosomal RNA". It matches the Rfam family "Bacterial small subunit ribosomal RNA", at positions 29 to 523 of the family's 1533-position model. The record is from RNAcentral.